GAGAGAGAGAGAGAGACAGCUAGACGUAGAAGAGGGGUAUUCUCAAAGGAUCCAAAACUCUCUUAAACACGAUCUAUAAAAAAAAAAAAAAAACUCUCUUAAACACUUGUAAGGAGAAAAAAAGAGGCAGAGAGAAUUUUCUCGAGAAAAAAACCCUCUUCCUUUUCCUUCGCGUGAAAAUCUUUGCUCCAUUGAGGGUGCCGUGACCCCCUUCCACCAGAUUUUCCUCUGAUCCAAAGCGCAACAAUGCUCUCGCUGCAGGGCGAUCCGCGGCAGCACCUCAAUCAACAGCUCCAAUUGGCUCCGUACAAAGCGGAGCCCCGCGAUGAGUCGUUCGCUGCUGCUGCUGCUGCUGCUUCUUCUUCUGCGGCCAAUCUCAAGCGCUCUCAGGCCUUGGACUCACAUGAAGUUGAUGAAGGCAUGCUCAUGGCCCUUGCUCAUCAGAUGUAUAAAGCUGGAAAUUUUAAGCAGGCAUUGGAACACAGCAAUGCUGUUUAUGAGAGAAACCCACAGCGUACUGAUAAUCUUCUUCUGUUGGGUGCAAUCCAUUAUCAGUUGCAUGAUUUUGAUAUGUGCGUUGCGAAAAAUGAAGAAGCUCUUCGAAUUGACCCCCGCUUUGCUGAGUGCUAUGGAAAUAUGGCAAAUGCUUGGAAGGAGAAAGGAAAUAUUGAUUUUGCAAUCCGCUACUAUUUGAUUGCUAUCGAGCUUCGACCCAAUUUUGCUGAUGCAUGGUCAAAUUUAGCAAGUGCAUACAUGCGGAAAGGAAGAUUCAGUGAGGCAGCCCAAUGUUGUCGUCAGGCUCUUGCAUUGAACCCUCGUUUGGUUGAUGCACACAGUAACCUUGGGAAUUUGAUGAAAGCUCAAGGUUUAGUGCAAGAGGCAUACAACUGCUAUGUUGAGGCUCUUCGAAUCCAACCAAAUUUUGCAAUUGCAUGGUCCAAUCUUGCCGGCCUUUUCAUGGAAGCUGGUGAUCUUAACAGGGCUCUCCAAUAUUACAAGGAAGCUAUAAAGCUCAAACCAACCUUUUCUGAUGCCUACCUGAAUCUCGGAAAUGUAUAUAAGGCUCUGGGAAUGCCUUCAGAGGCUAUAGUAUGUUACCAGCGAGCUCUUCAGGUGCGACCAGACUAUGUUAUGGCCUAUGCCAAUUUGGCCAGUAUAUAUUACGAGCAAGGCAACCUGGAAAUGGCAAUUUUCCAUUAUAAGCAAGCUAUCUCUCUUGACUCAGAAUUCUUGGAGGCAUACAAUAAUUUGGGUAAUGCUUUAAAAGAUUCUGGAAGAGUUGAAGAAUCAAUUCAAUGCUAUCGUCAAUGUCUUGCCCUGCAAGUUAACCAUCCUCAAGCACUCACUAACCUUGGGAAUAUAUAUAUGGAGUGGAACAUGCUGAGUGCUGCUGCUUCCUGUUAUAAAGCAACACUGUCUGUAACAACGGGACUUUCUGCUCCUUUCAACAAUUUAGCAAUAAUAUAUAAACAGCAGGGUAAUUAUGCGGAUGCCAUAUCUUGCUACAAUGAAGUCCUCAGGAUUGAUCCUUUGGCUGCUGAUGGACUUGUCAAUCGUGGGAACACAUACAAGGAGAUUGGAAGAGUUAAUGAAGCCAUUCAAGACUAUGUACGGGCUAUCAACAUCCGGCCUACCAUGGCCGAAGCUCAUGCAAAUCUAGCUUCAGCUUACAAGGACAGUGGACAUGUUGAAGCUGCUUUAAAAAGCUACAAGCAAGCACUUGUUCUACGCCCUGACUUUCCAGAAGCAACUUGUAACCUUCUUCACACGUUACAGUGUGUUUGUGACUGGGACGACCGUGAGAGCAAAUUUAUUGAGGUUGAAGGGAUACUCCAGAGACAGAUAAAGAUGUCAGUUAUUCCGAGUGUGCAACCUUUCCAUGCGAUAGCCUAUCCCAUUGAUCCAAUGCUUGCACUGGAAAUCAGCCGUAAAUAUGCUGCACACUGCUCUCUCAUUGCAUCCCGCUAUAAACUUCCCCCCUUCAACUAUCCUGCAACCUUAUCCAUAAAGGGUGAGGGUAGGAGUGGACGCCUAAGGGUUGGAUAUGUGAGUAGUGACUUUGGCAACCAUCCUCUUUCUCACCUCUUGGGCUCAGUAUUUGGCAUGCAUGAUAAAGAAAAUGUCGAGGUGUUCUGCUAUGCAUUAAGCCCAGAUGAUGGCACAGAAUGGAGGCAGCGUAUUCAGUCAGAAGCAGAGCACUUCAUAGAUGUGUCAUCCAUGUCAUCUGAUAUGAUUGCCAGGCUGAUUAAUGAGGAUAAAAUACAAAUCCUUGUCAAUCUUAAUGGCUAUACUAAGGGGGCAAGAAAUGAAAUAUUUGCCAUGCAGCCUGCUCCUAUUCAGAUUUCUUAUAUGGGAUUCCCUGGAACCACGGGGGCUAGUUAUAUUCAUUAUCUGGUCACUGAUGAGUUCGUAUCACCUUCUCAUUUUUCGCAUAUUUACUCAGAAAAGCUUGUUCACCUUCCUCAUUGUUACUUUGUAAAUGAUUAUAAGCAGAAAAAUCUCGAUGUACUGGAUCCUAACUGCCAAACAAAGAGAUCGGAUUAUGGCUUACCAGAGGACAAAUUUAUCUUUGCAUGUUUCAAUCAGCUGUACAAGAUGGAUCCUGACAUUUUCAAUGCAUGGUGCAAUAUUCUCAAGCGUGUCCCCAAUAGUGCACUUUGGCUCCUUAGAUUCCCAGCUGCUGGCGAAAUGAGACUUCGGGCCUAUGCGACUCAACGGGGUGUACAACCAGAUCAGAUUAUUUUCACAGAUGUUGCCAUGAAACACGAACAUAUCAGACGCAGUGCUUUAGCAGAUCUGUUCCUUGACACACCAUUAUGCAAUGCACAUACAACAGGCACUGAUGUUCUAUGGGCUGGUCUUCCUAUGGUGACCCUUCCCCUUGAGAAAAUGGCGACCAGAGUUGCUGGUUCACUGUGUCUGGCCACUGGUGUUGGAGAGGAGAUGAUUGUUAGCAGUAUGAAAGAAUAUGAAGAGAAGGCAGUCUCACUUGCGCUACAUCGCCCAAAGCUCCAGGAGCUCACCAACAGACUUAAAGCAGCUCGUUUGACUUGCCCUCUGUUUGACACAGCACGCUGGGUUAGGAAUCUGGAGCGAGCCUAUUUCAAGAUGUGGAAUCUGUACUGCUCUGGCCAACAUCCUCAGCCGUUUAAAGUAAGAGAGAAUGAUGCAGAAUUUCCUUGUGAUAGAUAGGAGCCGAGAUUGGGAAACGGGAUUGUACAUAAAUCAAAGAGUACAUUUGAGAUUAUUCUAGGUUACUGUCGGUUGGUUGUCCAAAUGUCAGCUGAGAUGUGUUGCAUCUUCCAAGUGGUUAUCUUGAUGGUGAUGUUCAUUCUUGGCUUUCACUAACAAAAGGAUCAGAGGUUCUUGUUCAGUGCUGUUCAUUGAUGAAGGACGCGUAUCACUUUUCCCUAAGAGGGCUGUUUGCUGCAUAGGUACAGCGUGUCAAGAUCUGAUGCGAUGCAACUGAAUUUGCAUUUGUGGUACUUGUCCCACCAAAGUUAAAAGUAAAGAGCAAGGGGUGGGUUAGGGAGCGUGGGUGUUAUGUUUAAAUGUUGCGUGAUCGCAAGCGCGAGCGCAGGGUUUCUUGUAUGAGAAAUCCUUGAAUUAUCCUUCCAUUGAGGCCUGGGAUUUUUUUGAAUUAUCUUACGAUCCUUUUCUUACAUAGUUUCCUCUUUCAUUGCCCAAGUAAUGCCGGAAGGAAUCUUUUGUCCAUUCUUUGAUCAUUUGAAGGUGAUGUGGCUUUUAAAAUUACCAUUGUUUUGAAAUUUAAUAGUGGUUCAUUUCAAAUUCAAUGAUAAUUUUAAAACUCACGGGGACAAAAGUCUUCAUUCUAGCUUUA
Molecule: RNA transcript, 3841 nt
Organism: Alnus glutinosa
Lineage: Eukaryota; Viridiplantae; Streptophyta; Magnoliopsida; Fagales; Betulaceae
Gene name: probable UDP-N-acetylglucosamine--peptide N-acetylglucosaminyltransferase SEC
Exons: 29
Source: RefSeq, a predicted model, not a curated record